GACGAACGCUGGCGGCGUGCCUAACACAUGCAAGUCGAACGGAAAGGCCCUGCUUUUGUGGGGUGCCCGAGUGGCGAACGCGUGAGUAACACGUGAGUAUCCUGCCCUUGUCUUUCGGGUAACUUCAGGAAACUGGGGCUAAUACCGGAUAGGAUCUCCUGCUGCAUGGUGGGGGUUGGAAAGUUUCGGCGGUUGUGGAUGGACUCGCGGGUUAUCGGCUUGUUGGUGGGGUAGGGGAUUGCCAAGUAAUUGGCGGGUAGCCGACAUGGGAGGGUGGCCGGGCACCAUGGGACUGAGGGACGGCCCAGUGUCCAACGGUGGGCAGCGGUGGGAAAUAUUGUACAAUGGGCGGAAGCGUGAGGCAGCAGCGCUGCGUUCGGAAAGCCGGCCUUCUGGUUGUGAACCGCUGUCGCCUGAGACGAAGCGUGAGUGACGGUAAUGGGUAAAGAAGCACCGGCUAACUACGUG
Molecule: ribosomal RNA, 468 nt
Filed under: uncultured bacterium
Lineage: Bacteria
Description: partial 16S ribosomal RNA
Rfam family: Bacterial small subunit ribosomal RNA
Source: RNAcentral